RNAcentral lists this ribosomal RNA (253 nucleotides) under uncultured bacterium. Its description in RNAcentral is "partial 16S ribosomal RNA". It matches the Rfam family "Bacterial small subunit ribosomal RNA", at positions 524 to 776 of the family's 1533-position model. The record is from RNAcentral.
UACGUAGGGUGCGAGCGUUGUCCGGAAUUAUUGGGCGUAAAGGGCUCGUAGGCGGUUUGUCGCGUCGGGAGUGAAAACUCAGGGCUUAACCCUGAGCCUGCUUCCGAUACGGGCAGACUAGAGGUAUGCAGGGGAGAACGGAAUUCCGGGUGUAGCGGUGGAAUGCGUAGAGAUCCGGAAGAACACCGGAGGCGAAGGCGGCUCGCUGGGCCUGAUCUGACGCUGAGGCGCGAAGGCGUGGGGAGCGAACAGG